Molecule: long non-coding RNA, 489 nt
Filed under: Malus domestica (apple)
Lineage: Eukaryota; Viridiplantae; Streptophyta; Magnoliopsida; Rosales; Rosaceae
Description: long non-coding RNA (MDOM_LNC020287)
Source: RNAcentral
GGAACCUAAUGGAUCGCACACCGUGUAAGGAGGAGAUUGAAGAAACAAUGGAAAUGAGUAAGAAUGAUUAAAUGGUUUAAUCAUUUAUUUAUGGCAAGGAUUAAUUAAUAUGUUAAUUAAUCAAACGAAUAAGUUCGUUAAAGAUCUCGGGAUAGUUUUGGACCUUAAGGCCCAAUGGGUUUCGAACGUCAAGCCCAUUAACAUAAGUUGUAUGACAACUUAAUGAAUAAUGAUUCACAAAGGCCCAAUUAGUCCAAAAUAUCCUAAUGGCCGGCCAUAUUGGUUAGGGUAGUGAACUUGGACUUAUUUACAAGUUUGCCACUCAAAUGAAUAAAGGUAUAAAUAUGACUUUAUAGCCAAAAUUCAUUAAGGGUUUGUUUUGGAGAAAAUUGGAGAGAACAUGUCUCUCCAUUUCUCUCUAAAGAGGCCGGCCACCUUGGGGGGUGCAUCUUGCAAUCCCACUACUCCAAGGUCACUCAUUUCUUCUCC